RNAcentral lists this ribosomal RNA (248 nucleotides) under uncultured bacterium. RNAcentral's name for it is "partial 16S ribosomal RNA". It matches the Rfam family "Bacterial small subunit ribosomal RNA", at positions 523 to 769 of the family's 1533-position model. The record is from RNAcentral.
AUACGGAAGGUGCAAGCGUUAAUCGGAAUCACUGGGCGUAAAGCGCUCGUAGGUGGCUUUGUAAGUCAGGUGUGAAAGCCCACGGGCUCAACCGUGGAAUUGCACUUGAUACUGCAUUGCUUGAGUUCGGGAGAGGGUAGUGGAAUUCCAGGUGUAGGAGUGAAAUCCGAAGAGAUCUGGAGGAGCACCAGUGGCGAAGGCGACUACCUGGGCCGAUACUGACACUGAGGAGCGAAAGCGUGGGGAGC